This is an RNA transcript of Pezoporus occidentalis (night parrot), 3285 nucleotides long. It is a transcript of the gene named SHC adaptor protein 2, with no coding region annotated. The transcript is spliced from 13 exons. The record is from RefSeq and is a predicted model, not a curated record. Lineage: Eukaryota; Metazoa; Chordata; Aves; Psittaciformes; Psittacidae.
GGGAUCGGAGAGCGGAGCUGGCGUGAACCGGGUCCCGCGACCGCCUGCGAACGGUCCCCGGGCAGCGGGCGAAGUACCCGGAGCCUUCCCUAGAGUCGCCCCCCGGGAACGGGCACCCGGAGCCGCCCGCACCGGGAGCCCCAUCAGAGACGCCCCCCCCCCCGUGGGGUCGGUGGAGCCAGGGCCCGUUCCGGUGCUCUGCGGCAGGUUGAGAACCGAACCGGGGGAGAGGAGAAGCGGCUCCUUGCCCCGAGUUACCGAUCGCACUCGGGGCACCCACCGGCCGCUGCCCCGGGAGGCACCGAGGCGACGACGAGACAAAGGCGGCCCCUUGGGAGGCUCCGGUGAUGCCGGUGCCAGCUGAGGGGCGGGGAAGGCUCCGGCCGGCCUCGUCCCCCCGCUGUCCCUGAGCACCGGGACCGCGCCUGCCCUUCCCGGGCCUCCGCAGCCCCCUCUGGGUGUCCUGGGGGGAGCAGCGGGGCCGGGGCCGCCGGAGGGAGCCGGGGUGGGGCGGCGGGGGCCGGGAGGGCGCAGGAUGGAGGAUGCUGGGGCGGCCGGGGGGGGCCGGGGCGGCGGCGGAGCCCUCGCACCAUGACAUCAGCGCGGCGCGGCCCCGGGGGAGCGGGCGGGGGGCGGGAGCCGGCGCGGCGGCGGCGGCGGAACGGCAGCGGCGGAGCGGAGCGGCCCCGGGCAUGCUCCCGGAGCCCAAGUAUGACCGCUUCCGCGACGAGCCGCUGACCGCCCCUAUGCCGUCGCCGGUCCCCGGGCCGAGCCCCGCGGCGGGCGAGGAGCCCGAGCCCGGUACCACCUUCUGCGCGCUGCUGCCGCGGAUGCCGCAGUGGAAGUUCCCCGGUCCCGGCGGCUUUCUCGGUCGCAGCCCCUCCGCCGGUACCGGUGGCGGCCGGGACCUGUCAGCGCCGGCCCGGGCGGGCCCCCCCUCGGCGCUGGCCGCCGUGUUGGCCGCCUGCGAGCCGCUGUGCCCCGCCGCGCCGUGCGCGCUACCGGCGGGCGGGCGGGCACGGGGGGCGGCGGGGCGGGCGGCGGCGGCGGCGGCGGCGGGGACCCGGCCGGGCGCGGAGGAGUGGAGCCGCAAGGGCAGCUUCAUCCGCAAACCGGCGCAGGGCUGGCUGCACCCCGACGAGCGGGUGCUGGGGCCCGGCGUCUCCUACAUCGUCCGGUACAUGGGGUGCAUCGAGGUGCUGCGCUCCAUGAGGUCCCUCGACUUCAACACCCGCACGCAGGUCACCAGGGAAGCCAUCAAUAGAUUGUAUGAAGCAGUGCCCGGCGUGAAGGGCAUCUGGAAGAAGAAGGCUCCCAACAAAGCCCUUGUCUCCAUCCUGGGCAAGAGCAACCUGCGCUUUGCUGGCAUGAGCAUCGCUGUCAACAUCUCUGUUGAUGGGCUGAACCUCAUGAUCCCCACCACACGCCAGAUCAUCGCCAACCACCACAUGCAAUCCAUCUCCUUCGCCUCCGGUGGGGACACGGACACCACGGACUAUGUCGCCUACGUCGCCAAGGACCCCAUCAAUCAGAGAGCCUGCCACAUCCUGGAGUGCUGCGAGGGGCUGGCGCAGAGCGUCAUCAGCACGGUGGGGCAGGCCUUCGAGCUGCGCUUCAAGCAGUACCUGCACAGCCCCCCCAAGGUGGUGGUGCCCCCGGACAGGGCGCUGGGUGCCGAGGAUUCGGUCUGGGGGGAGGAUGAAGAUGCGGCCGAACACGAUUAUUACAACAGCAUCCCCGGCAAGGAGCCGCCCCCGGGCGGGCUGAUCGACUCCCGGCUCCGGCACGGCCCCAGCUUGGGCCACAUCCGCACUCAACCCUCCGGCUCCAUCCUCUCCAGCCAGGCCGGGUUUGCAGCCAGGAGAGACCAGAGCAGCCAGCCAGGGCCACCCUGGGAGCUGGAGAGCCAGGGCCAGCCCGGGGAUGGGUACCUGCAGGCUGAUGGCCACCCCUUGGGACCACGGGACUACGAGGAGCACAUGUACGUGAACACACAGAGCCUGGAUGCCUGGGAGCCAGAGGCAGCGGCGGCUCGGGGGGUGCCGGAGGAGAGCCCCAAGAAGGACCUCUUUGAUAUGAGGCCAUUUGAGGAUGCCCUGAAGCUCCACGAGUGCAUUGUGGGGGGCAGCAGCAGCCCCCCCAUCGAGGACCAGUGGCCGAGCCCCCCGACGCGGAAGGCUCCCAUUGCCCCCACUGAGGAGCAGCUCAGGCGGGAGCCGUGGUACCACGGGAAGAUGAGCCGGAGGGAUGCGGAGAGGCUCCUGCAGAUGGACGGGGACUUCCUGGUGCGGGACAGCCUCACCAACCCGGGGCAGUAUGUGCUGACUGGCAUGCACAGCGGGCAGCCCAAGCAUCUGCUGCUGGUGGAUCCCGAGGGAGUGGUGAGGACCAAGGACGUGCUGUUUGAGAGCAUCAGCCACCUCAUCAGCCACCACCGGCAGAACGAGCAGCCCAUCGUGGCCGCCGAGAGCGAGCUGCACCUCCGCCAGGUCGUGCAGAGGAAGCAGUGAGCCCGGGGGUACGUGAGCUCCCGACCCGCGGCCCUGGCACCGGACUCACCCCAGCCCUGGGGUAAAGGCAGGGCCCACCCCUCUGCUCCCCUCCUCUGGUUGUGCCCGGGCCCGCACCCUGGGGUCAGGGUCCCCGUUCCCCUCUCCGUGGUCCGCAUGGGGCAUUGUUCCCAGCUGGGAGCCGCUGCGGCACCGCCAGCCCCGGUGCCGGCUCCAUCCCGACACAAGGAAUUGGUCUCUGGAGUGUCAUGGGGCAAACGGGGCUGGGGAUGGUGCCAGGGGCCUCAUCCCAGGGUGGGAUGGGGUAUGUGAGGAGCACCCUUGCCCACCAAGCCGUGCCUCUCGCCCAGCGCUGCUGCUCAGGACCCAGCUCCCUGCCUUGGUUCCCCCUCUCCGCCAGGACAUUGGGGGGUGCCCCUAUCCCCCAUCAGUGCAGGCUGCAGCCCCUGCCCUGUCCCUGCUCAUGGGGCUGGGUAUCCCUCUUGGUCCCACAUUUCCAGCUGGAUUCUCCCCAGGAGCAGCUGCCAUGAGGGUUCCUGGUGGCUCCGAGCUCCCGCAUCCCUCCUCAGGCUGGGGCUGGGAUGAAGCUGCUGUGGGGAAGGUGCAGGGCUUUGGCUCUGGCUCUCCAAGGCUGGAGACGUGUCCCAAGGCCCCUGGGACAUCCCUGCUUCUCCUGGCGCUUGGGCAGGUUUUUAUGGCAUUCGCAGCCCUUGCCCAGCGUUGUCUGGGGCUCGCGCUUUGGAAUACGUUUCUAAUUAAACCUGGAAAUGAGGAA